GACGAACGCUGGCGGCGUGCUUAACACAUGCAAGUCGAACGAAGAGCGAUGGAUGCUUGCUUCUAUCAAUCUUAGUGGCGAACGGGUGAGUAACGCGUAAUCAACCUGCCCUUCAGAGGGGGACAACAGUUGGAAACGACUGCUAAUGCCGCAUACGAUCUGACCUCGGCAUCGAGGAUAGAUGAAAGGUGGCCUCUAUUUAUAGGCUAUCACUGAAGGAGGGGAUUGCGUCUGCUUAGCUGGUUGGGGGGGUAACGGCCCACCAAGGCGAUGAUCAGUAGACGGUCUGAGAGGAUGGACGGCCACAUUGGGACUGAGACACGGCCCAGACUCCUACGGGAGGCAGCAGGGGGGAAUCUUCCGCAAUGGACGAAAGUCUGACGGAGCAACGCCGCGUGAGGGAUGACGGCCUUCGGGUUGUAAAGCUCUGUUAAUCGGGACGAAAGGCCUUCUUGCGAAUAGUUAGAAGGAUUGACGGUACCGGAAGAGAAAGCCACGGCUAACUACGUG
RNAcentral lists this ribosomal RNA (510 nucleotides) under uncultured bacterium. Its description in RNAcentral is "partial 16S ribosomal RNA". It matches the Rfam family "Bacterial small subunit ribosomal RNA", at positions 28 to 507 of the family's 1533-position model. The record is from RNAcentral.